AAGGGAAAAAAAAGGGGGUUGGGGGAAGGAAUUUAGAAUGAACUUUGUACGAACCUGAAUUGUCCAAUUUCAUGGACCAAUCGAUAUCGGAUUGAGUCCAAAACCUGGGGAACAUCAUAAUAUAGUGGGAGGAGUUAUUUGGUGGGUUUUGAGUGAAAUCCAAUCUUUAGAACUAUGCAAUACACCAGCCACUCUAUUUUAUAACGAACUUUGUACGAACAUGAAUUGUCUAAUUUCAUGGACCAAUCGAUAUCGGAUUGAGUCCAAAGCUUGGAGAACAUCAUAAUAUGGUGGGAGGAGUCAUUUGGUGGGUUUUUAGUGAAAUCCAAUCUCUAGAACAAUGCAAUACACCAACCACUCCAUUUCAGUACGAACUUCGUAUGAACCUGAAUUGUCCAAUUUCAUGGACCAAUCGAUAUCGAAUUAAGUCUGAAGCUUGGGGAACAUCAUACUAUGGUGGGAGGGGUCAUUUGGUGUGUUUUGAGUGAAAUCCAAUCUCUAGAACUAUGUAAUACACCAACCACUCCUUUUUAGAACGAACUUUGUACAAAUUUGAACUGUCCAAUUUCAUGGACCAAUCGAUAUCGGAUUGAGUCCAAAGGUUAGGGUACAUCAUGAUAUGGUGGGAGGAGUUAUUUGGUUUGUUUUGAGUAAAAUCCAAUAUCUAGAACUAUGCAAUAUACCAACCGCUCCGUCUUUUAUUUGUUUUAAUUUUUUUUUUCAUGAAGUCUAGAUUAUAAAAGAAGACCAUGAGACAAUAAGUUGAUCAUCAAAGCAAACAUACAGAUCCCAAAGGAGAGCUAAUCAGUGUGAGACAAUGACGACUUCUCCAGUGAAAGAUCAGGUGAGAGACUUAGUUGAGAAAGAAAUCGACAACGCGCACAAGGUUGUCGAUGC
RNAcentral lists this long non-coding RNA (897 nucleotides) under Prunus persica (peach). RNAcentral describes it as "long non-coding RNA (PPER_LNC000206)". The record is from RNAcentral. Lineage: Eukaryota; Viridiplantae; Streptophyta; Magnoliopsida; Rosales; Rosaceae.